GUGCUCGCUUCGGCGCACACAGACUAAAACUGGAACGAUGCAGAGAAGAUGAGCAUGGCCCCUGCGCAAGGAUGACACACAUAUUUGUGAAGCGCUCCAUAUUUUA
This 106-nucleotide small nuclear RNA is filed under the name Peromyscus maniculatus bairdii (prairie deer mouse). Lineage: Eukaryota; Metazoa; Chordata; Mammalia; Rodentia; Cricetidae. The record is from RNAcentral.